AAACUAUCAUGGUUGUAAGAUGAGACUCCACCACCUAAAGAGAUGGAUAGAACAUUUACUCCAUCAGCUACAGCUGUAUCAACAGCUGAUAGAAUAUCUGAGCUGAAACAUCCACCAGUCCAACACACUUUUUCCAUAAGCAUAACCAAGAAGAUUAGCACCACGAACCGGAGAUCCGGCAACAGUAGCUGCAGUGUGAGUUCCAUGACCAUCUUGAUCUCUAGGUGAUUUAUAAUCUGCUUGCUCAUCAAUCUUACCAGUUGCUGCUUCAUAUCCAUGGUAGAAUAUUCUAGCACCUACAAUCUUCUUAUUGCAGUGAUGAUUUCUGAAUCCUCUACCAGUUUCACAUGCACCUUUCCAGUGAGAAGGUACUGGUUUCAUUCCUGCAUCAUUGAAACUCUCACUCUCAGGCCAAACACCAGUAUCUAACACACCAACUAUAACAUCAUGGUUAACCAGCUUUUCUGAAAAACUGUUGUUGCUGCUUUGAAUUGGUUCAAGACCAAGAAAAUAUGGACUUCUUGUUGUGUGUAGUUCAUACUUUGUUUCAGGGAAUAUAGCUACAACACCAGCUUCAGAUUCCAGCUUUUUUACUUCUUCUUGGCUUAACUUAGCAGCCAUUCCAUGAAAAGCAGUGUUGUAACUGUAAAUGAUUCUUUCUUCUUCAUUGUUGUCUAUAUCAGAUUCUACUGAUCUAGACAGUACUGAUUUUACUUUUGAUGAAUACCAUUCUAAGUGAUUGGAAAAUAUGUCUGGUUUUGCUGAGUGAUCCAUUUGAAUGAUGUAAGUCUUUUUGGUAAAUUCAGCAUUUGUUGAUAAGACUAUACUCAAGAGAAAACAUGUUAGAAUGCAACUCAUUUUUUCCAUUGGAGUGAUUUGAUACUUAUCUAUGUAAAAAAAUAAAAAAAAAAACUAAGGUUUUUGAAGCAUUUGGUUCAAAGUGAAAUAGAUAGGUAAAGAAAAUUUAAUAGUAAUAGGAGUUUAUGCUCUAUUCUGAGUGAGAUAUAUUUAAAAGAAAUGAGAGUAGUGAGUGAGUGAUAUUUAGUGUGACAGCAGUGCACAGAAGAAGUAAAGGUGAACGGUUGUUUCUUGUUGAAUUGUAUAGUAUAAAUUGAAUGGUGAAUUAAAAGUGCUACCUCUUGGUUGGUGAUUGAAGUUAA
Long non-coding RNA from Trifolium pratense (red clover), 1160 nucleotides. RefSeq lists it as uncharacterized. Lineage: Eukaryota; Viridiplantae; Streptophyta; Magnoliopsida; Fabales; Fabaceae. The transcript is spliced from 2 exons. The record is from RefSeq and is a predicted model, not a curated record.